ACGCUCGACACCUACUGGAGGCAGCAGUGGGGAAUAUUGCACAAUGGGGGAAACCCUGAUGCAGCAACGCCGCGUGAAGGAAGACGGUUUUCGGAUUGUAAACUUCUGUUCUUAGUGAAGAUAGUGACGGUAGCUAAGGAGCAAGCCACGGCUAACUACGUGUCCAGCAGCCGCGGUAAUCUGAGGCGGGCUGGCAAGGC
This 200-nucleotide ribosomal RNA is filed under the name uncultured bacterium. RNAcentral describes it as "partial 16S ribosomal RNA". It matches the Rfam family "Bacterial small subunit ribosomal RNA", at positions 328 to 539 of the family's 1533-position model. The record is from RNAcentral.